RNAcentral lists this ribosomal RNA (452 nucleotides) under uncultured archaeon. Its description in RNAcentral is "bacterial SSU rRNA". It matches the Rfam family "Archaeal small subunit ribosomal RNA", at positions 60 to 516 of the family's 1478-position model. The record is from RNAcentral.
CUUUGUAGUAAUACAAGGCAUACGGCUCAGUAACGCGUAGUCAACCUACCCUAUGGACGGGGAUAAUCUCGGGAAACUGAGCAUAAUACCCGGCAGACCACUUAUCCUGGAAUGGUUAGUGGUUAAAAUGAUUCGUCGCCAUAGGAUGGGACUGCGGCCUAUCAGCUUGUUGGUGAGGUAAUGGCCCACCAAGGCGAUUACAGGUACGGGCUCUGAGAGGAGAGGCCCGGAGAUGGGUACUGAGACAAGGACCCAGGCCCUAUGGGGCGCAGCAGGCGAGAAAACUUUGCAAUGUGCGAAAGCACGACAAGGUUAAUCCGAGUGAUUUCUGCUAAAGGAAUCUUUUGUUAGUUCUAAAAAUACUAGUGAAUAAGGGGUGGGCAAGUUCUGGUGUCAGCCGCCGCGGUAAAACCAGCACCUCAAGUGGUCAGGAGGAUUAUUGGGCCUAAAGC